RNAcentral lists this ribosomal RNA (237 nucleotides) under uncultured bacterium. RNAcentral describes it as "partial 16S ribosomal RNA". It matches the Rfam family "Bacterial small subunit ribosomal RNA", at positions 99 to 334 of the family's 1533-position model. The record is from RNAcentral.
CGAACGGGUGAGUAACGCGUGAGGAACCUGCCUCAAAGAGGGGGACAACAGUUGGAAACGACUGCUAAUACCGCAUAAGCCCACGGCUCGGCAUCGAGCAGAGGGAAAAGGAGCAAUCCGCUUUGAGAUGGCCUCGCGUCCGAUUAGCUAGUUGGUGAGGUAACGGCCCACCAAGGCGACGAUCGGUAGCCGGACUGAGAGGUUGUACGGCCACAUUGGGACUGAGACACGGCCCAG